UACAGAGGGUGCCAGCGUUGUUCGGAAUUAUUGGGCGUAAAGGGCGCGUAGGCGGCUCUGUGUGUCGGGUGUGAAAUCCCACCUCUUAAAGGUGGAAUUGCAUUCGAAACUACAGAGCUGGAGUUCCGGAGAGGAUGGUGGAAUUCCUGGUGUAGAGGUGAAAUUCGUAGAUAUCAGGAGGAACACCGGCGGCGAAGGCGGCCCUCUGGAUCGUUGCUGACGCUGAGACGCGAAAGCGUGGGGAGCAAACAGG
RNAcentral lists this ribosomal RNA (253 nucleotides) under uncultured prokaryote. RNAcentral's name for it is "partial 16S ribosomal RNA". It matches the Rfam family "Bacterial small subunit ribosomal RNA", at positions 524 to 776 of the family's 1533-position model. The record is from RNAcentral.